Molecule: small RNA, 27 nt
Filed under: Bombyx mori (domestic silkworm)
Lineage: Eukaryota; Metazoa; Arthropoda; Insecta; Lepidoptera; Bombycidae
Description: ovarian small RNA-22212
Source: RNAcentral
UAGCAACAUCCUUGAUUCCUUAUGUUG